This 102-nucleotide transfer RNA is filed under the name Gelria sp. RNAcentral's name for it is "tRNA-Ser". It matches the Rfam family "tRNA". Rfam says of the family: Transfer RNA (tRNA) molecules are approximately 80 nucleotides in length. Their secondary structure includes four short double-helical elements and three loops (D, anti-codon, and T loops). Lineage: Bacteria; Bacillati; Bacillota; Clostridia; Thermoanaerobacterales; Thermoanaerobacteraceae. The record is from RNAcentral.
GGAGAGAGUGGGAUUCGAACCCACGGAGCCGCUACGCACGACUCGAAAUCGUGUGAGCCGUUUGUAGCGGCUCCGUGGGUUCGAAUCCCACUCUCUCCGCCA